Molecule: ribosomal RNA, 116 nt
Filed under: Lepisosteus oculatus (spotted gar)
Lineage: Eukaryota; Metazoa; Chordata; Actinopteri; Semionotiformes; Lepisosteidae
Source: RNAcentral
GCAAGCAGCCAUAUCAUCCUGCAACUCACAACUGACAACCCACUGACAUUAAGCAGGCGUGAGCCUGGUCAGUACCUGGAUGGGAGACUCCUGGGAAACUAAGGUUGCUGCUGGAA